CGAAACCUGCCCAGCAGAACGACCCGAGAACACGUGAACCCAAGUUCAGUGGUGCAAGUGGGGAGAGAUCCCCCUUGCUCCACCGCUCGGCCGGGGAGUUGGCUAACGCCCUCUUUUCGUGUCGAAAAACGAACCCAAGGCGCGGUAAGCGCCAAGGAAAAAACAAAUGGAUCUAGCGUGCCUCUUCUCUUUCUCCUGCCUCGGUGGGAGAAAUGCAGCGGUAGGUGUCGCGAAAUCCAAUCUUCGAA
This 248-nucleotide ribosomal RNA is filed under the name Papaver rhoeas (corn poppy). Lineage: Eukaryota; Viridiplantae; Streptophyta; Magnoliopsida; Ranunculales; Papaveraceae. The record is from RNAcentral.